RNAcentral lists this ribosomal RNA (442 nucleotides) under uncultured bacterium. Its description in RNAcentral is "partial 16S ribosomal RNA". It matches the Rfam family "Bacterial small subunit ribosomal RNA", at positions 338 to 795 of the family's 1533-position model. The record is from RNAcentral.
CCUACGGGUGGCAGCAGUGGGGGAUAUUGCGCAAUGGGCGAAAGCCUGACCCAGCAACGCCGCGUGGAGGAAGAAGGCUUUCGGGUUGUAAACUUCUAUUAGGAGGGAAGAGCGAAAGACGUUACCUCUUGAAUAACCCACGGCUAACUACGUGCCAGCAGCCGCGGUAAUACGUAGGUGGCAAGCGUUGUCCGGAUUUACUGGGUGUAAAGGGCGUGUAGCCGGGCUGACAAGUCAGAUGUGAAAUUCCGGGGCUCAACCCCGGACCUGCAUUUGAAACUGUUGGGCUUGAGUAUCGGAGGGGCAGGCGGAAUUCCUAGUGUAGCGGUGAAAUGCGUAGAUAUUGGGAGGAACACCAGUGGCGAAGGCGGCCUGCUGGACGACAACUGACGGUGAGGCGCGAAAGCGUGGGGAGCAAACAGGAUUAGAUACCCGUGUAGUC